ACUUCACAGUUCAACUGCAUCUCUUUUAAAACAAAGACAGGCAGACAAAUUAAGAAGAAUAACAUGGAUCCCUCUACAGUGCAUCGGUGGCUUCCUCAUUAAGCCGUUAAAAGAGAACGGCUGUCUACAAAACAAGCUAAGUCAAAAGGGGAAACCGCAGACAAAGAGCCUGAGUUUAGAAAGCGUAGUCUGGAAUGAGAUGUAAAUCACUGGCUGAGCUGAUGCUGUGCAAAACCUCUUCAAUUAGCUGGAGGGAAGACAUCACGAAGUCCGCUGUCAAAGCAGUUCUGAUUGGCUGAGCAGGCCCUCAGCAAACAACUGAGUGGACAAGAAAAAUGGUGCCACACAACCAGCAAGAAGAACCUCAGCUGAGUCGAGCCAAAGACCCGUGCACGUUUCCAUAUCUCCUCCGGAGGAUAUGAUCUCAUCAGCCGUCUCUCCUGCAAUUACUUGAUACUCCUCUGAGACCGUGACGCAUCUUCACUCCUGGGGGUUAGCUGGCUGAGCAUUCAGGUGACACUGAAUAGCUGACAUCUCAAUACAACUCAGUCUUUUCUCAGAGAGCAGGAGAUAAAACAUUGAGGGUCUGUUCUGAGAUCAGUCCCACCGGACUGAGGCUGAGAGAGCUGAAAAGACUCAGUCUGAUAAACCUCUCAGCAGAACAAAACAGGCCACACAACCUCUCAUGCUCACACACAUUAAACAAUGUGGUCACACUUUAAACAUGCAUGGAACAUAAGGAUAUACCCGUGUAUUUAUACCCACAGAGGGUGUUGCAGAAGAGUUCAUCCCCCUCGACCAUUUCCCCAUUUUGUCACAUUAAAACCUCAAACAUCAAUGUAUUUUACUGAGAUUUUAUGUUAGACAAACACACAUCAUUGUGAAAAAAAUGAGGGAAAAUGAUCUAUGGUUCUCAAAAUGUUUCCUUUAAAUGCAUUUCUAUUCAACCCUUCUGAGUCAGUACUUUGUAGAAGCACCCUUUGCUGCGGUAAGGUCUGUUGGGAUGUGCCUCUAACAGCAAUAUACAGGUCCUUCUCAAAAUAUUAGCAUAUUGUGAUAAAGUUCAUUAU
Molecule: long non-coding RNA, 1070 nt
Organism: Girardinichthys multiradiatus
Lineage: Eukaryota; Metazoa; Chordata; Actinopteri; Cyprinodontiformes; Goodeidae
Exons: 5
Source: RefSeq, a predicted model, not a curated record